Molecule: long non-coding RNA, 170 nt
Organism: Gavialis gangeticus (Gharial)
Lineage: Eukaryota; Metazoa; Chordata; Crocodylia; Gavialidae
Exons: 3
Source: RefSeq, a predicted model, not a curated record
GUGUGGCAGUUAAACUUCUACAGCAGACUCAGCCUCCAAGGACAGGCUGAUAAGACUCUGCAAUGACUGAAUCCUAUUCACUUUGAAGUCUGAAGUAAGUUUCCUCCCUAUUAGUUACCAUUUCAAAACAAACAUGUAGCCAAAAACCAGUUUUGAAAUAAUUAAGAGUU